GCCUCGGUGGCUCAGUCGGUUAAGCAUCUGACUUCAGCUCAGGUCAUGAUCUCGCGGUUCGUGGGUUCAAGCCCCACAUCAGGCU
Molecule: transfer RNA, 85 nt
Filed under: Felis catus (domestic cat)
Lineage: Eukaryota; Metazoa; Chordata; Mammalia; Carnivora; Felidae
Rfam family: tRNA
About the family: Transfer RNA (tRNA) molecules are approximately 80 nucleotides in length. Their secondary structure includes four short double-helical elements and three loops (D, anti-codon, and T loops). Further hydrogen bonds mediate the characteristic L-shaped molecular structure. tRNAs have two regions of fundamental functional importance: the anti-codon, which is responsible for specific mRNA codon recognition, and the 3' end, to which the tRNAs corresponding amino acid is attached (by aminoacyl-tRNA synthetases). tRNAs cope with the degeneracy of the genetic code in two manners: having more than one tRNA (with a specific anti-codon) for a particular amino acid; and 'wobble' base-pairing, i.e. permitting non-standard base-pairing at the 3rd anti-codon position.
Source: Rfam by way of RNAcentral